Molecule: long non-coding RNA, 1010 nt
Filed under: Sarcophilus harrisii (Tasmanian devil)
Lineage: Eukaryota; Metazoa; Chordata; Mammalia; Dasyuromorphia; Dasyuridae
Description: lncRNA (ENSSHAG00000029840.1)
Source: RNAcentral
CUCUUUUUCUCUCUCCAUCUCUCUGUCUUUCUCUCCCUUUUCUGUACUUUUUUCUUUCCCACUCUCUGCUUCCUCUUUCUCCUCCUUAUUCUCUUGUUCUUUUGCUAUCUCUCAAUUCUUGUCCUUCUCCUUCUAAGGCCUCUCUUCACCCUUUGUCUUUUUCUUUCUCCUUCUUUUUUCCCUCUCUCUUCCUAUCCCCCUUUUCUUCUUUCCUCUGUAUUUCUCUGCCUCUCUCUUUUCUACUCUCUCUUCUUCUCUCUAGCCCUGCUGCCCAUCUUUUUUCUUUUUUCUGUCUCCCUUUCUGUUUUUCUUUCUUCUUUCCCAUGUCUUUCUCUCUUUCCCUCUCUCCCUUCUCUUUUUCUCCUAUCUUUUCUUUCUCUCUUUUUUCCUGCCUCUUAAUUCUCACCUUUUUCCUUCUCUCUACUGCUUCUCCCCACCCUCUCUUUCUCUUCUCUUUUUGUCUCAUUUCUCUCUCCCUGUUUCUCCUCUUUUUCUCAUCUUCUUUCCUACUCAUUCUUUAUUUCUCUCCUUUUCCCUUCUCUACUCUCUCUCUCUAUCCAUACUCCCCAUGUUCUGUCUUUUUUUGUCUGUUUUUCUCCUCUUUCUCUGUUCUUUCUCUCUUUACCUCUCUCUCUCUAUCCAUACUCCCCAUGUUCUGUCUUUUUUUGUCUGUUUUUCUCCUCUUUCUCUGUUCUUUCUCUCUUUACCUCUCUCUCCCCUUCUCUUUUUGUCCCUUCUUUUCUUCCUUACUCUCUAUUAUUCUGUUUCUCUAUUCUCGCCUUUAUCCUUCUAAGGUCUCUCUUCACCCCCUGUCAUUUUCUUUCUCUCUCAUUUCUCUAUCUUCCUCUUUCUUCACUUUCUCUUUCUAUCCCCCUUUUCUUCCUUUAUCUUUAUUUCUCUUCUUCUCCCUUUUCGACUCUUCUUCUCUCUAGCCCUCCUGCCUAUCUUCUGUCUUGUUCUUCUGUCUCUGUGUUUUUUCUCUCCUCUUUCCCACUUCUUUCUCUCUUUAA